Molecule: ribosomal RNA, 274 nt
Filed under: uncultured bacterium
Lineage: Bacteria
Description: partial 16S ribosomal RNA
Rfam family: Bacterial small subunit ribosomal RNA
Source: RNAcentral
AUACGGAGGGGGCUAGCGUUGUUCGGAUUUACUGGGCGUAAAGCGCGCGUAGGCGGUAUAUCAAGUUAGGCGUGAAAGCCCCGGGCUCAACCCGGGAACUGCGCUUAUUACUGAUAAACUAGAGUCCGGGAGAGGGUGGCGGAAUUCCCAGUGUAGAGGUGAAAUUCGUAGAUAUUGGGAAGAACACCAGUUGCGAAGGCGGCCACCUGGACCGGUACUGACGCUGAGGCGCGAAAGCGUGGGGAGCAAACAGGAUUAGAUACCCCAGUAGUCC